RNAcentral lists this ribosomal RNA (497 nucleotides) under uncultured bacterium. RNAcentral describes it as "partial 16S ribosomal RNA". It matches the Rfam family "Bacterial small subunit ribosomal RNA", at positions 28 to 507 of the family's 1533-position model. The record is from RNAcentral.
GAUGAACGCUGGCGGCGUGCCUAAUACAUGCAAGUCGAGCGAACAGACGAGGAGCUUGCUCCUCUGACGUUAGCGGCGGACGGGUGAGUAACACGUGGAUAACCUACCUAUAAGACUGGGAUAACUUCGUGAAACCGGAGCUAAUACCGGAUAAUAUAUUUAACCGCAUGGUUCAAUAGUGAAAGACGGUUUUGCUGUCACUUAUAGAUGGAUCCGCGCCGCAUUAGCUAGUUGGUAAGGUAACGGCUUACCAAGGCAACGAUGCGUAGCCGACCUGAGAGGGUGAUCGGCCACACUGGAAGUGAGAAACGGUCCAGACUCCUACGGGAGGCAGCAGUAGGGAAUCUUCCGCAAUGGGCGAAAGCCUGACGGAGCAACGCCGCGUGAGUGAUGAAGGUCUUCGGAUCGUAAAACUCUGUUAUUAGGGAAGAACAAAUGUGUAAGUAACUAUGCACGUCUUGACGGUACCUAAUCAGAAAGCCACGGCUAACUACGUG